UAUGUGUAGUAAAUGCACCUUUUCUACAAAGUACAGGUAUUGAUUACAUUACGAGGCACUGCUUUAUACUUUGUGGUUUCUCAGGGGUCCCUAUGUAGGGCAGAUCUCAGAGACAAUGGAGAGCAUUGCCUUUCUCUUUCCACUCUCUAUGAUUAUUUGUGAUUUUUUAUAUCCUCAGGUGUCAGUUUUAUACGUUCAUUAUCAUAACGUACAUUUCACCAUUUUUCCGGUUUCUCUAAAACCAAAAUUUAUUUCUGUUACAAAUCCUGAAUCAAAAUAUAGAGUGUUAUUCAUGGAAGCCUAGUUAUAUUUGUUAGUGGUGUAUGUCCAUCUGGGGCAAUACACUUAUGUCGGUAUUCAGAAGUUAAAUUCUUUGAAGCAUUUUUGCUUAAUGCUUGACUGUAGCAGUAGUCUACUCUUCUUUAUGUUUUGUGUCUGAAAAACUAAUGGUACCAAACUUUUUUUUACUUAGAACUGGGAUCAUAGACUUUCUGUAAAAACUGAAGAAGAAAAGGAAGAAAUGUCCAGAGGUACACAAAACUCCAGGGAUCUUGGAUGCUUAAAGAAACACCAACAAACAUGUAGUCUUUCAAAAGGGAGGGAGUAGUUACGUUCUCUAAACUUGCUUAAAGCUUCUUUGCAAAAGACCUGUUAUAAACUCUAUUAAAAUAAAAAGGACUACUUUGACUUCAGUAGGAUUUGGAUCAAUAAAGAAGAGUCCAGAUCGCUCAGUUUCACACAAGAAGGAAUAUUUUUGCUUACUAAAAAAUAAAUUCUUUUCAGGAAGAAAAUCUCAUCGUAAACAAGCCAGUGCAUCAUGGCAGAAAGUUAAGUUAAACUGCUUCAUUGAGAAUUAUUGCUGAUUAAGAAUUGAUUCCUCUCAUUUUUUAGUCACACAGCUAUUUAGUUAGUUUUCAGCUGGUGUCAGGUGAUGUCCUCCUGUGAAUUUUCAUAACCUGAAAGGAGAACACAGGGCUGUUGUCAGCACUGCUGAGGUUCACUCUUUUUACUGUACUGCCUGUUCUACAUGGUUUCCGUACAAAAUCAUAAAUCAUGCAGAGUUCCUUCUUGUACUGCAGACAGCUAUUUUGUUAAAGCUCACUGACACUUGUGGGCUUUUCAGCAAUUUUAGCUUACAGUAAAACAUACCCAGAAGAAUCUACCGUGUUAUGUAUCAAUAUUGAUACUAUUUGAUGUAUUUUCACAGAAAUUACCUCAGGAUCCCCAGAACUCAGAACUCAAACUGCUUUAACACCUGCUCCUUCCAAAUCAGCUACAAUUGCAAGAGAAACCAUUGCAUUUUGAGCUCUGUACCCACCCUUGGCUUGCAAAUCUGCUUACAAAUUUUCUUUUCAUUCGCACCAGAUUCACCAGGCUCAAAUUUCCAAUGACACUGCGGUUAUGACUGCUUGUUUACCCCAGUUAAAACAAUGUAAAUGUAUUCUCAUGUCCUCUAGUUUACUCUCUGUAGUUUUCACAUGUUUUCACUUGAUUUAAACUCUAUAGAAUACCUGGUAAUCAUAUAGUCAUACCUAGUGAAAUGCUGUUUAUAUUGACUGUGCAAUGGUCUCGGAUGAUGGUGAACAAGGAAGUAGUGUGGUUACAAAUUGCAGUUACGCUUACAGACUGUGAGAUCAUGGCAAAUUAUACUGCUGCAAAAGUGGAAUGAUAAUCUCCUGCUAAUCUAGCUGAGUUCUAAAUGCACAGAGUUGAUUACUAAGCAAGCUUAAUGAGAUGUUUGUGAACUAUGCAAGAAAAAGUUUGUCCAGGAAAUUUGGAGAAAAUUAGAGAUCCAAAAGGAAAAGCAAAUUCAAUCUAAAAUUAUUUUCUUUUGAGGUAUUGUUGGUUAAAAGUGUGUUAUUAUUUUAAGUAAUAAAAUGCAGAAAGAAGGCUUGACUAAAAAAAAACCAUGGUGUGUGCUGCAAAUAGCUUGUGUUGCAUUUACUCGGACUGUUACAUGAAAUAUUUUGUCCAUUUGUAAGGUAAAAUACUGUGCAUACUUUUAAAAGUAAUUUGGAAGAGAAGGUUGGCUUGUUUUGUUUAUUCAGUACCAAGGUGGCAAAAUUUCUGCUCUGCAGAAGAAUCAAGUUAAGAAGGGUGCUGGAUCAGAAGAGAAAAAGAAAACAUUUCAAAAGAGAUGUUCAAGUUAAACCUGCUGAGGCAGGUUUGCUGCUCAAAGAGCACAUUGCAAGUUUUUUAAAAGAAUAAAUAAUUCAGCAGAAACUGCCACAUCGCUGAGACACAGACUCCAUUACUUUCUAAAGAAAAAGCAUGUCAAGUUUCUUUACAGAUGUCUCUGCAGAUAAAGAGACUAUUGGCAGGUGGGGCACAUGCUGCAGAAAACAAGAGUAGAUCACUAAAUAAGAAAUUACAACAGUAAUAAUUGGGGCAGCAACUUUUACAUGAUUCUUCCUUUCACAAAUUUGUCUUACCUGUAGAUGUGGUGUCAAAAGGUAUCUAACAUAUCUGCUGUGCAAUCUUGUUGUUUUUUAUCAGUAACUAGACUGAUGGAUAUAAUUAGUCUAAAACCUUACCAUUGCAUAAUCCCUUUCUAACAGUUUAACAGGAAACUUUAGUUGGAAUUCUUUGGUAAACCUUUGGUAAGUCUUCCUUAUUUCUCAGUCAUCUAAACCUACCUUGUCUACGCUUUUUCUCUUUGAGAAACUCAGAGUGAGGAUUAGGCACAGCUCCAGGCAAAGUAAGAACGUGAUGUUGUGAGGGCUUUAUCUUAUAAAAUAAGAUAUGUAUCUUUAAAAAAUUAUCUUAUAAAUUGCGUUGAGAUGGAUGAGAGGAAUGUCAUCAUAGUGUAGGAAGUGUUGGAGUGGAAUCAGUUUGGAAGCAUUUCUGCAUAUCGCCUGAAAAGUGAGCUUUCAUGGUUAAAAUGUAUUGUGAUAAAAAGUGAAAGUAAGUUUGUUUCUAUUAUCUUUCAACUCUGUUUGUUCUUAGACUGAAAUAACAUUGAGGAAAAUGUAGUAAUCCAUUUGGUAUUUUUAGGUUUUUGCGUGUGGUGCGUGAGGUAUCCUCUUGGGCAGUGUUCCAGAAUCCAAUGUCUCAUGAAGAUCUUCAUGUGACAGAGUUUUCUUAAACCGGACUAGAGUGAGCUGACAGGAGCAAAGGCUUAGAGUUUGGUUUCAUCCCCGUGCCCUCUCUGCAGCAAACCAGCGCUACCUGAUGGGACUCUAGAGGUGGAGGAAAGGAUCUGUGACACUGUCCCUUGCUGCCUUGAGAUUCUGGAGGGGGGAGACAGGAAAAAUGUGUGGGGAUAUGAUGUCACGUCCUCUCUCUUCUAUCACAUAAUGCAGUGAUUGCUGCUGCUGUUCCAUAAUUUUGCAGAGUUUCUGAUGAAGGCCUGCAUCCAGGUGAUAAUAUCUUUCAAAUGUGAGAUGUCAUCACCAUUCAUUAGCUGGCUUUGAAAAAUUUUACGUAGCAUGUGCCAGUAGGCUAAUACACUGUUA
Struthio camelus australis is the source of this 3455-nucleotide non-coding RNA. The record is from RefSeq and is a predicted model, not a curated record. NCBI's taxonomy places the organism in Eukaryota, Metazoa, Chordata, Aves, Struthioniformes, Struthionidae.